AUUUAUGAAUUCAGUCUUAAGCUAUGGUGGUGAUAUUCUAAAGAUCCUUUGCCAAAGUCGAUUUUGGUGUACUCUGUUGAGGAAAAAGGAAUUCAGAGACAAUGUCAUAGUUUACAACAGAAGAUGUAAAUUACUACUGGUGUCUGUAAUCUGAUGAGUUUUCCUGUAUAUUACCCUUUUAGUCAGUUUAUUUAUGGUAACCCUGGCUCAUUAAUUAGAAAGUGGUGCUCUCUGUUAUACCUAUAGCACUCGCUGCUUUCUGAAAACAAGGCCAACUUGGACGCUGAUGGAAUUUAUCACAUGCUACAAAAGCAUUAUUAAUUAAAGUAGAAACAAAGAAUGAACUAGAUAAGAAUGCCUGAUUAAUGAGACUUUCGAGUUUGGAUAUCAAUAAAGGAAGACAACGAAGAUUGUGAUCAAUCUGUAUUAUUUGUUGGCUUUUUGGUGCUGCAUCCUUGAAUUUUCAGAUAUUGUAUUGCAUUUAUGGGUAAUAGAUUCUGAAGGUUAAAUUGAAAUAGCAUUACAUGCUACUGAGAUGAGCUUUUCUCUUUGCAGGUCAGUGUGGGUACUCUUCUUGCCUUUACCAUGGUAGCAAUUUCUGUGCUGAUUCUUAGAUAUGUCCCCCCAGACGUGGUGCCCCUUCCAUCAUCUCUCCAGGAGUCAAUUGAUGCUUAUAGUGAUGCACAAGAGAGCAGUGGGAUCAUUUCUCAAGUUUCUGGUGGCUCAUCUAAGGACAGUACUCAGCCUUUAUUAGGCAAAAAGGACGCAUCGAUCGACUAUCCUAUUAUCGUGGAAAAAGUGCAAGGUAUUGCUAUUUCAAAUGCAAUGUUAUACUCUUGCAUGAUGAGGUGAAGUAGGGUGAUUGUACAUUGAAGGUGGUUCUAUCAGACAUUUAGUUACCUCAGAACCACAAAAAAUUUUAAUGCCUUGUUUCUACCACUUUGUCCCAAGCCUCAUCCAUUAGCUCCAUCUCUCCAUGCAGACAUCUUGACAGAAAAGAACAGGCGAAAAAUUGCUGGCUGGACUAUAAUGUUCACGUGCAUUGGGGCUUUUCUUCUCACUUAUGCAGCUUCAAGUUUGGGACUUCCCAGGUGGGUAUAUGGAAAAAAUGCUUGCAGACACUUGUGGGAUGUCACUUAUUUUUCUAAUUCCAAAGGAGCUCUCUUAUGCUUAAUCUGUAUUAUGAAAUAAGGAGUUUAAGCAAUAUAUGGCUUGGCCUCAAGUGUGAGGCCAGGUGGUGUAAAUGGGAUAAAAAAAAUUGUCUUCGCCUAAAGCUCCAUGCACUGAAGACAGCAGAUUUUGAUGCUCAAAUUUUAUCAAAAAUAAAUAAUUAUAAAACAAACUUUUUCUACAAUAUAUAGAUGCUGCCUCUCCCUCCCUCCCCCCCUCUCUCUCUCCCCCCCCCUUUUGCUUUCUAUCUGAUUACCUUCUUAAUUCUGUUACUUUCCUUCUCAGCUUUCUUCGCUUCUCCGUGUGUGGUGUUGGUGGCACUUUCCUUUUGUCUGGUCUCAUUGUGCUGACUUGCAUCGAUCAAGAUGAGAGGAGGCACAAGUUUGGCCAUGCAGGAGGUAUGUUAUCUGAGUACAGUUUAGCAAGUAUGUUAGAUUCUUUUCCAAGUGUUAUGUUCUCCUGCAUGUUCUCGUCCUUUUUGGUUGCAUCUCAAUGGCAUCUGUGUGGAGUCGGACCUUGAAUGGUAACUUGUCAGGCAUAAUCCUUUAUUUACACGUAGGUUGUGCAAAAACUGCUUUUCCUUAGGUUGUAUUCUUGUGCAGUGUGAUGUAAAAAGGACUGGAAAGUGAAAUCUGAUUAAAAGAGGAAAAUCAACUUUAAUUGAUAUCAACACGAAUUGCUGACAAUAUGUAUUGUUGCAGAAGCAUGAAGACCUGGGAAUGACUCAGGUUCAAUUUGAGUCGAUACCAAAAUCACAAUUUUAUUGUCCUCGUGCCUCCAACUUAAUACUAAUAAUUUUCAGCAUUUGCAAAUUUUGCUUUACCUGUGAUAUCUUAUAAAGGCUGGAGGAUAAUGGGUUCAUUUUUGUCUCAUUUGAAAUUUCUUUGGUUCAACGAAGAUGCAUCAUCAUUUCCUCAGUGGUGUUUGAUGGUGUAACAAUCUAGUCCCGUUUAUUUUCUCUAUUCCUGAGGUUUGGUUGCCAAGUGGACACAGAAUUUUGACGCAUGGUACUGAUCACAUCAACUCGAUAUUAUUUCAGGUUUCAUCUGCCCAUUUGUUCCUCUUUUGCCUAUUACCUGCAUUCUGAUCAACCUUUAUCUGCUGAUUAAUCUCGGGUGAGUCUUUUAAUCCACAACAUGCUUAUAGUGCGAACUUUGUCAACCUUGUCUACAUUAUUUUACCAUUGGAUUGAAGCUUUAAUUUUUUGGGGUAUUAAUUAGACGACCUAAUAAAGUCGAGGUGGCGCAUAAUUUGUAAUAUCUCAUUAGAAGCAGUCUCUGUGUUGUCAUUUUUCUCCUUUAAUGACCUUGAUCGUAUAGAUGUGCCUCUUUCAUCUUUGCAACAACAGGGCUGCCACGUGGGCUCGUGUCUCUGUAUGGCUGAUAGUUGGGGUGCUCGUGUAUGUGUUCUAUGGACGGACUCACAGCUCUUUGGUGGAUGCCGUGUAUGUGCCAGCAGAUCAUGCUGAGGAAAUUUACCGCAGUUCUGGAGACUCAUUGGCUUAAAUCUUCUGGGCGUAGAAUAUUGUAUGUGAUAAAGCUUGCUAGGUGAAAUUCCUCUGGGCAAUUCGUGUGUCUUUCUGUUGUAUUCUAUGCAUGAAAUUCAAUCAAUAUUUCUGUAGAGAGACUCGUAGGAGUCAUGUUUGUGUAGUAGAUCACGGAACAAAUGUUCCACAAAAGUUAGGCAUGUAAAUAUCUUUAAACUUAUUCUUUGAGUAAUGUAAGUAUAUGUAUUCCUCGUUCCCUCACAUUGCUGUAUCCUCAGUUCUCACUGAACUUGCAUUAUGAUUAGGAGCCUUUCCAGGUACCUCGCCGUCCUUGGAUUCUAUUGCGUUCGGCAAUGUUGUUCUUUUUUUAUCUGUUUUAAUGGCUUGAUGGGAAGGAUCUUCGUCGCCCUGUAGAUGAUUGUAAAAUACAAAUUGAAUUUUGGAAAGGGUAAAGCGACCACCCGUAGGUGACGAGGUCACAUGGAAUUACUCCUGUAGUGCUUUUUGCUAUGAAAAAAUAUACCUGAAACAAGACGAGCGAAGGUUUGAAUUCAAGCCUUGGAGAGAGGGAUCUCGAAGUAGGAAACCUUUUCUACGGAAGGGAAGCAACUGACUGCCCCCAUGUUCAUUAAUAUACAUGUUGGUCCGGUAAUUAUGUCCUUUUACCGUUUAAUUGCGAUUAAUAAAUUCGUGCGAAUAAAAGAUAAGAGAUGUAAGUUGUACUAUGUGACUUGUGAGCUAUGUCGUACGAGUUUUGAAGAGCUAAAAUGCAACUCAUGCGCUUCUCUUUUAACAAGUGAUAUGCUCGACUGACCUCCCACAAACUGGUAUUCCCACGUAUGCACCGCAAAUCAGAAACAACAUUAGGUCAUGCAGAGAAGCAGCUUGACGACUAAAGUCUCGUUUGGUUCAGCUAAGUUCCCGUUUAGUUCGGCUUUAACUAACGUCUCAUUUAGUUCGGCUUUCUCAAGGGAUUGAGAAAAAUAUGAGGCAUUUGGCAAGUGCUUUUAAAACCCUAUUAGUAAAAUGUCAGCAAUGUUGAAAGCUCAAAACAAGUAGGAACCUGCUUUACACUUUGAGUGUUGUCGGGAUGUUAUUUUGAGGAUUUAAUGGCCCUUUUUUCUUUUGAAUAUUGCCCUCACUAAUAACUGUGCGUUCUCCUUAUGCCCUAAAAAAUCACUGUUCAUCUUUUUCCUUGGGCUUGCUGGUUCGUCAUUGAGGAGAGGUCGUGGUCGAGGUCGCCUAUCAUUAAGGUCGAGAUCGAGGGUUGCACGUGUCAUUGAGCCGCUCGCCGGAGCUACUAUGGGGUCGAGGUGGUUGAGGAUCAAGUGACCCAGAUCUGCCCUUCGACUGCGGCCGUGCGAACUCGAUGUCGCGCAUCCUCGCCAGAGAGGUCCUUGUCGAGGUUGAGAUUGAGGGUUGCACGCGUCAUCAAGCCACCCGCUGUAGCUUAAGGGGUUAAGCCGCCAGAUCUGUAAUCACGUGCUCUUCACCUUGCUGAUGUUGCAAACAUCAUGGUUGCAAAUCCUUGGCAUCGCCCAACCCCGCUGCCUCUGCCAUUACUCGCUCUGAUCUGUUUUUUUUUUUUACUUGAGAGUUGCUUUAUAAAAUAAAUACCCAAGUAAGGUUUUGCUGCAAUGACCACCUUUCAACUUGAAAGGGAGAAACUCUAUAUUUGAGGUAUGAAUUUCGAUUUUCAUAUAUUGUAAAGAAACAUGGCAAAAGUCUAACAGUAAGCAUUAUAAUAAAAAUCGAGUAGAACUAAUAAAAAAAUAAAACAUAAACACCGAAUUGAGUUAUCUUUUACAAAAAAAAAAACACUGAAGUGAGUUAUUCAAACAUUAAUAUUUUCAUCAAAUAAUCAUUCUGUUCGAAGAUACUUGAGAAAAUACAAAACUAUUCUCCCAAAGUUAAACUAAAUGGACCCUAAACCGCUAAAUCUGCCUCAAAAUGCAAUGGGAGAGGCCACGAUUAUGGAAGCCUGACUUGUCUUACUCCGUAAUGUGUGCCUUUCUACUUUUUAUUACAUGUAUCUAUGUAUAUCAACAGCGGGCAAUCUUUGAACGGCAAAUGUCCGUACUCACAUCAAAUCUUCCUUAAAGACGAGAGUGAUGCCCAGGACAUUGCAGAAAACAUUGUACCACGCUUAAUGUCAAUGUGGCAGUUAGAAAACCAUUCAUUGAAGCUUUCUGGAUAGGCUGUAUAACCACUCUUCCCGAUGGCCAGAAGGCGAUCAAGCACAAUUUAUCAAUAAGACAAGGAAGAUGAGAUGUUCAUAGGGAUUUCUGCACAAAGCUUGAACUAGUCAAAAAGAUGACAAAAUGAUAAGAAAAAGAGACCUUAAACAAGAGAGCAGGCGCUCCUGAGAACUAAAAUUUGCAAACAUCUCCAUCACGACUCUGCAUCCUGGCAAUCGUUUGCCAAACUCUGAAUUGAAGUCCAUAAAGCCAAAAUCAAUUUACACUUGUCUCCCCUCUGUUCAAUAGCAGAAUCCACUGUUGCAGAACCCAAGCAUCCUCAGCCAAAAGUUGCAAUCAGAAAAGCUUUAUAUAUGCUCAUGAACUUGGCUAUAAAUGCUGCACGAGUAAAGUAGAGUGUGUUAAUCAGAAGGCAAUGCAUUCCCCUCUGAACAAGCAAAAAACACCAAUUGGAUUAUAGUCCUCCAUUUUGGCGUCGAAAUUUGAAUUUUUGCUCAUCUUUUCACGCCGUUCAUGCAAUCACAGAGAAGACUCCCAAGCAAGCCCCAAACUCAGCCAGCCACCAUGGAGAGAAAAGCUCCCAAAGCAAAGUAAAAGAAGAAAGCGACUUAGUCUUGUGAUACUUUGACAAAGAAAGGCAUACCUUCAAGAUGGAAUAUGGCCUUCUGUCCGAGCCUCAUCCUAUGUUCCUGUUCAUGGAUGAUGGAAUGAAGGAUUACCAAAAUUUGGAAGCAAGAAACACUAGUAUAUCUUUAAUAUCUUUAUUACAUUAUCCCAGCGUCAUAUUCUUUAGGUGGCAAUCACAAAAUUAGAAGACUUAGGCAAAGCGACUCCAAUUAGGCUGGCCCAACAUAAAGUCGAAUUUAUGAAGACUUACAUAGUAGGCUGCCCAGUGGCAGACCUCAUGCUUUAAUUCUGCAUCUAGUUUUCCCAGUAAAUCAUGCAGCAGCCUCUGCAAGGAAACAGGAGUAGCACUUUUACCUUCAGAAGGAUUUCUGGAGGAAUGCACUUGAUGAGCAACUCAUAAAGUUUCCCUCUAACCUGGAAUAGCCUAAAGAAUAAGAACAGCAGGUGUUUAGCCACAGCUCAUUUCCAUCAUGACAAGCAUAUUUCCAUGAAAUGCAGUGGGCAAAGCUCCACACACAUGCACAGAGAUACAUACACACAAGUAAGAACAGAAAAGAGAUUAUAUUGUCUGCAUCAUGAAAUGAUAUUCUAAGUCCUGAUGCAGCUCAGCAUAUGCACCCAAAGUUAUCCAAAAACUUCUGGACGUUUUACUCGUUAUAUAAGUUUAGGAAUUCUUAAAAUUAACAACUAACAUCAGAUCACUACAUACACAAGAGAGAUUCUUUUCAAUUUGCUAUAUUGAAUCGAGGCAUUUGAAAGAUAAAACACUAAGGAAUGCUAAAGGUUGACUUCAAGCAACACAUGAAAAACCUUGUAAAGGUAGAAUGCCAAACACUUUUAACCUUUUUGGGCUCUGUUCCUUCAUAAUGUCAGAUACUAUCUCAGAAACGUACUCCUCCCAAUCCAUCGGAGAUAUCACUUGGUUUAUGGUGAAAGGGUACCUAAAUCCAUUGUUACAACAGAAAGAACUAUCAGUUAGUGUUUCUCCAAUAUGGCCAAAAGAAUCAAGCAUGAAUAGAUGAACCAGAAUAAACUCCAAGGCACUGCAAUUGAACAACAGUCCUAGGAUCUUACUGCUGUACACGACAAGUCUCAAAGGAAAGUAUCGCUCUUCUUAAACUGCGAUUUGAUUUUUCUGCGACGCGAGCGGCAAAUCCAGCAGGAAGUUGCAGAUUUUCCUUCUUCGCAAUAAAUUCUAAUACCUUAACAAUCUGACAGAAAAUUUGAAUAUAUAAGAGUCCAUAAAUUGACAAUGUCCGCACAACAAUCAAGCAGAUAAUGUAGCUGCAGACAAUCUCACUUGAAAAAUCUGCAAUCUUUCAGAUGGGCAGUAUAUAAGCAGAACCAAUGAUGUAUGCAGUAAGUUGGAAGAGAAAAAUAAACCUAGAAGUGAUGCAAUGCUACCAGCAUUCUCAACUCGAAAUAUGGCCCCACAAGAUAGAAGUGUACAACCUAAACUACAAAUGUCAGCGCAUUAUGAAAAACCUCCUCAAGAACAAUAGUCUAUCAUCCACGCGCUUUUAGUAUGAGCGUUCCUCUAUUGUCACAACAGAAGAUGUUCUGAUGCAUUAUACUCUGUGAUUUUGUUAAUUAGAGAAUCACAUCAUGUGCAAAAAGAAGCGUACGGUACGAAUGCAGGAUGCACGAGAAGAAAAUGGACAGGCAGUGACUGAAAGUCACAAUCACCUGCCAGCAUAUGACUCAAUCCUACCAUCUGAUGUUUGAUAUAAAAGGAUUAACCCGACCUACUAGUUGCCAGCCCAAAGAAAAAGAACAGAUCCUGAUAGGAUCCACAUCCAUGCCACAGGGUCUAUAACAGUUCCCUCUUUCAGAAAGGACUCCAUAUUAAAUACGUAGGCAUCGACUCUAUCCACUUAUCUUUUGUACCGCUGAACAAAAAUAAUUAUCUGCAUACUAAAAGCACUAAAAAAGCCCCUAACCUGAUCUUCUCGUGGUGCAUUUAUUCGUAUAUUCAGACAGCGAGAACGAAUGGCUUCAGUAACUUUUGAUGAGCUGUUGCAGCAAAGGAUCAGUCGGCAUGAUGCACUAUACUUCUCCAUCGUCCUCCUUAGAGAAUGUUGAGCUUCUCUUGAGAGUUUGUCAACCUCAUUAAGCACCAGAACUGCCACACGAUAAAAAAUUAUAUCUUAUAAUUUAGGUUUCAGUUCAUCCUUAUAGAGCAUGUUAAUCUCCAAAAAGAACAAGGUCAUCAGAUAUAUGAUUAUACCCAAGGGAACAAAUAUUGGAACUAGAAUUCCAUAAGUUUCUGAAAGUACAAACAUUUAAAAGAAAGAUAUCAAGUCGUGCCAAUAGAGGAAAACACUAUGUCCCAUAUGAUACUAAAAAAUACCAGAGACUUCGAGAAUUCCCCAUAAUCCAUCAGAGAAAAACUUCUUGAAAGUUAUGUUUGCUUUAUAUUUCGAUCAAACUAAAUUUUAUAUAGUCAAUUUUAUGUUGUUCAACUCAAAACACUCGAAUAAUGCCAGACAUCAUUAAACUACUCAUUCCUAGAUUGGAACUGAAAAGUCUCUUUUUUCAGCUCCUUUAAGAAGCCAUAAACUCAUCAAAGACAAACAACAUGAUUAAAAGCCCCUUACUCACAAUCAAUAUCAAUGUAACAGCCUUAGAUGUCAAUUGCAACAAAUGAGAAUUCCAUAUAUCAUCUUCUAUUGAGGCAAAACUUCUCUUGGUCAUCAAGUUAUACACAGCUUAUAUGGCAUAUAUUGCUCUUAGAAGCCGAACAAAAUUCUGGAGUGCAAUGAGCUAACGUAAAGCUCACCUUAGUUUUACAGGAUUGUGGAUAAUAUCAUAUAGGAAGUGCCAAGAGAUGAGAAAUACUAAGAUUUGGAAAAGCAAUAUCACCUUUGAAUCUCUUUUUCCCUUUCGUGUCUAUUGGUCUGUUUUUGGCCAUUUCUUUAAUAAUCUCCUGAACAACGUAACGGUCCUGAAAGCCGGCAUCACUCGGGUUCAUUUCAACAUGAUGGGUACUUGAUAAUGUGGUCAACUCUAUAUCAAUAUUUCUCAUUCUAGCUCGCAUUAAAAGGACAAUGGUCACUUCGGGUGACAACGGUCACUUAUUUGAGAAAAUAUGUUCAUUUUGGGUUUUUAUUUAAAAUUUUCCCUAUCUUCAUGAGAUAAACAAUAGCAUGAGAAAUGUGUUCACUAGGAGUGUGCAUGGUCCAAGUGGACGGUUCCUGACUUAGAAUCGGGAAUCGGACCGUCGGUCUAGUCCAAUUUCUGGGUGGAUCCAAAGAACCGGUCCAACCUCCACGCCUUCCCCUUUUCUCCCUCCUCACAUCUACUUAUUCUGUGGUUGUUUUAUUCUCCUCAAGUACUAGCGUCGCGACAGUAGCAGUUGCAACUCUCGCGGUGCUUCUAUCCCGACCACCACCACCAUCUUCGCCACCGCCUUCGCUGUUCCCGCUCCUCCCUUGAGACCGACAAUGAGGAGGACAAUGUGGACGAUGAGCCAUUCUUAAACUUGGAGUUCGCCCCUGUGCUCGAAAAUGAGGAUGAUGGGGGGAGGCCUGAGGAGGGAGAUGAGGAAGAGGGGAGGUAGAAGCGGGAUGAACCCAACAACGAAGAGGAAAAUAGUGACAGUGAAUGCGGAGAUGGCGACGAUAUGGAGAGAGAGUUCAAGUUCGAGGCGGGGAAAGAGAAUCAACUCACUAUUUUGAUGAGUUCGAACUAGGACUCGAAGGAAUAUGAGUAGAUCCGAAAGUAAAUUAAGGUGGAAGAGGGACCUUGAGGAGAUUUUGAAUUAAGAGAGACGAGAUGGAGUAAGAGAGUGUGAAUUGAGAUAAGAUGGUUAUUGAAACCUUAAAAUUUAGAUUUGCUAAUUUCGAUUUUUUUAAAUAUUAAAAAUUAAUAUAAUAUUAUAAUAAAACCGAUCUAAGUGGUCGGGUGGAUGCACCUAUCUAUGGAACCGGGAACUGGAUUUCAUAAAUUGAAAACGGGAACCAGUUUUUUUUAAGAACCCGGGGGUUCCGGUCCGGUUCCGCCGGGCAGGACAACCUGCGCGCGAAUAAUUGUCGUUGGCCGCGGACAUGUCCUCUCCCAUCUCACGUCACGUCGAAGACAGAGACCUUAAAACGAGAAGCAGCUCCCUCCUCUGUUCUCUCUGUCCUUCGCAAUCCAUCAGCCCGCUUUCCCCUCUCGAAGCCAUCGGUCUCUUCGGGCGCCGAAAAUUCGUCGCGCGCUUCGCAGGGGAACGCGGGCGCCUCCGUCCCGUAGCUCGUCUCGUGAUCGAAUUCGGGCGACGUCCGCUUUGACGCGUUUCUGAAGAUUACGCCGAGGGUGGGGACGGGGUUGGUGUUGAUAUAUAUAUAUAUAUAUUUUUUGGCUGUUGUGGUUGAAUUUGGGGUCUAUAAGAGCUUCGAUUCGUCGCCCUGUCGUGAAGGGAAUUGAGAAUUCAUUUGGAUUCUCGGUUUGAUGGGUAUUCUGGGCGGUUCCCAAAAGAUGGGUGGGUGCGGAUCACCGUCGGGGGGUUGGGCGAAGGGCUUGGUGAGGAGGAAGCAGGUCGAUUCGGCUCGCUCCAGGUCCGGUGGAGGGGGGCAUCAUCAAUUGGCCAAGGAGUUGUCGAUUCUCCACCUCAUCGCCAUUGGUAAAUGAUGAAUUAAGCUGAAGUUCUCUCCUUUAUUGUUGGGUUUUCGUUUUGUUGGUACGAGCGGAGCUGUGGUUUGGUUUUUUGGUCCGUUUUGCGUGGUUGAUGAUGAAGAAAUUGUUUGUUAACGCGUGUUAUGCGUUCCAAUUAGCUGUUGGAACUGGAAAGCUUCGUUUUUUAUGAGAUUAUGCUGAUCAAACUCGGCAUCCCCUGCUUCUUCCAGAAACUGAAACUGGUACUCCCUCCCCUCGUGAUGGAGUUUUUGGAGUUCAUUUUCAUGGUGCUUUUUGAGCUUGAAGUUGAAUUGCUCUUCAGAUUUCUUCUUCAUGGACCGAUUUACUUUUUGUUAUUCGUUUUAUGAUUGGAAGGCCCGGUGGUUCUUGAUUUGCUACGAAGGAUUUAAUUGCUGGUGCUCGGUUCUUGUUUUGGUUUAGCAGUCACUGAACUUAGCAUUGAGUGUGUCUUUUCCCUGCACAUGACGACACCUCUUAGAUAAUUGUUUUGGCCAAUUCCUUUAGCUUCAUUCCUAUUUAUUAUCGAAAGUCACAGUGGCUUACUUUGGGCUUUAUGGUUUGGUAAGGGGUCGGAUCUACUAUUGGAGCUGGAGUUUACAUCCUUGUUGGGACCGUUGCUAGAGAGCAUUCUGGACCGGCUCUCGCCUUCUCAUUUCUAAUAGCUGGGAUUGCAGCAGCUCUUUCAGCCUUCUGUUAUGCGGAGCUUGCAAGCCGUUGUCCCUCUGCUGGGAGUGCUUAUCAUUAUUCAUACAUAUGUGUUGGAGAAGGGUAAUACUUUGUAGAGCUUUUAUAAGAAUUAUUCAGGUCGGGGACAAUCUGUAAUUGAGGCUGUGCUUGAUUAGUGAUUUCUCUUUUCAUCUUUUCUGCAUUAUGAUGAUCAACAUUUUGUGCUUUUAAUCUCGACUGCUUGCGUUUGUAUGAGUUGGCUUUGACUAUGUUGGUUGAAAUUGAAAUAGACAACUAGACUUGCGUCCACCUUUUUGAGAGUUCUGUUAUUUUUUCAAACCAUAACCACGACAUGGCCCUUUGCUUGACAGUGUCGCUUGGCUGAUUGGUUGGGCACUGCUACUGGAAUACACAAUUGGUGGCUCAGCCGUAGCUCGUGGCAUAUCUCCUAACCUGGUCAGGAUUUUGUCAUAAAUCAAUAAGUUUUUCAAGAUUUCCUAGCAAGUUCAGAAUGGGUAGCAUUGUGUCCUUUUUAGUUCAUAGUUUAGAACUUUAGACUGCUUUUCUGCUGAGUAAGAUUUUGUGGGUUUGGUAUCUUGAUGAAUUUUAAUACAUGCCAGCAUUGUAUUUUGCUAACUGCUGAGCACUUCCGUAAGGAAAGAUUUGUUGGAUUAUUAUUUUUUAAAUAUCAGUGCUUUUACAUUUGACUUUAAGAUUGACUUUUUCUAGGCUCUGCUCUUUGGAGGAGCGGACAGUCUUCCUGCAUUUUUAGCUCGGCAGUACAUCCCUGGGCUUGAUAUAGUUGUAGAUCCAUGUGCUGCAGUUCUAGUAAUCAUUGUUACUGGGCUGUUAUGUGUGGGAAUAAAGGAGGUAAUCCCUCUUUCAGAUUAUUUUGAUGCCAAAAUGCCUCCAUGAGUUGUCAUUGACUGAACGUAUUCUUGCAGAGUACGCUGGCUCAAGGUAUCGUCACAACAGCUAAUGUGUGUGCUAUGAUUUUUGUCAUAUCAGCUGGCACUUAUCUAGGUUUCAAGACUGGGUGGCCUGGUUAUGAACUUCCUACUGGGUACUAAAACACUUCCUUUAUAUUCCCUUAUAGACAUCUUGCAAAGUAAGUUCCUGCGUGUAAUUAGUGUCUCUACAGAUACUUCCCCUUUGGGGUUGACGGGAUGCUUGCGGGCUCUGCAACUGUAUUCUUUGCAUAUAUUGGUUUUGACUCAGUUGCCAGCACAGCUGAAGAGGUAUGGAUCUUCGCUGCUCUAUCUUUUUGCCCUCUCAUGGAAUUCUGCCUUUUGUUUUAUUCUUGUCCCUUUCAGGUCCAAAAUUUAGUCAUCUUAUGUUACUUUUGUGACAGGUGAAGAACCCACAACGUGAUUUGCCUGUGGGUAUAGCUGCUGCAUUAUCAAUAUGUUGUGCGCUAUACAUGAUGGUAUCUGUAGUGGUUGUGGGUCUUGUACCUUAUUUUGCAAUGGACCCUGACACCCCCAUCUCCUCUGCAUUUGCAAGCCAUGGGAUGCAUUGGGCAGCGUAGGUGUAUAAUUUGCAUCAUAGUGCUUAUGGCAGCUUCUCCUUUGUUGGGGAUGCCAGACAUGCGCCCAGAUUUUCGUUCAUUAUGCUUGCUUCGGUGCAGGUACAUAAUCACAGCUGGAGCUGUUACUGCCCUCUGCUCUACACUGAUGGGCGCCAUUCUUCCUCAGGUAGACAGAUGAUGUGCUUUGGACUUUUUCUGUGGCCCAAUGCUUCCAGUUGUUGCUAUUACUUUACAAAGUUGUUAUUAUGUGAGAUUGAAUCUUUCUUCAUUUCAUCUGCAAUUGCCUUUUUUUAUUCUUCCCAAGAUGGUUUUAUAUGAUCUACUCUUUACUUUCUUCUAACCCCCCCCCCCCCCCCCCCUCAAAAAAAAAAAAGUCCUUUUUUUUUUUCUGCAUCUGACGCAUUUUUUUUUUUUUUAGCUAUAACUAAUGCAUUGAGAUUGGGAGUGUCAUUAGACAGGAUCUUUGGGUUCGCAGUUUCUUAUUUUUCAAGUGCGUGGAUGGGGAGAGUCAUCAUUUUGCCCAAAAACUGCUUUGCUCGUUGUUUCUCCGUAACACAGGAUUCUUAAUGAUAGCUUGAUUGGGGACCAUAGAAGAAAAAUUGUAUCUAAGGUUAAAGUUUGAAUUGUCCCCUCUUCUGGGCAUUCAUCAUAAUAUUAUAGCUGUAGAUUCAUAUAGAAGUAUCAGUUUUGGUGAAAAGGUAUCAUGCUUAAAAAGUUGAUACUUCCUUUAGGUAACUGGUUAUCUCUGUAUCAUACGAUUACCACCAACAGGAAAGUAUGUUACCUGUAUUUGGAUGCUAACUUUAUAUCAUACCCGCUUAAUGGAGUCCUGGUGCUUGUUGUUUUCACAUUUUAUGUAGUACUUUCACUAAUCUUUAACCUUCUAAAUCUGUAAUUUUCUUUCAGCCUCGGAUUCUCAUGGCAAUGGCGAGAGAUGGACUCCUGCCUGCUUUCUUUUCAGAUAUAAACAAGUCCACCCAAGUUCCUAUCAAGAGCACUAUUGUGACUGGUAUUGGGUCAGCAACACUGGCAUUCUUCAUGGAUGUGUCGCAGUUGGCUGGCAUGGUGAGUGUGGUUGAGUUUAGCCAAAAAUUGAGUAUUUACUUUUGCCUUGAUAAUGUCGAUAUAUAUGUACAUAAUAAUUUAUGAAUUCAGUCUUAAGCUAUGGCGGUGAUAUUCUAAAGAUCCUUUGCCAAAGUCGAUUUUGGUGUACUCUGUCGAGGAAAAAGGAAUUCAGAGACAAUGUCAUAGUUUACAGCAGAAGAUGUAAAUUACUACUGGUGUCUGUAAUCUGAUGAGUUUUCCUGUAUAUUACCCUUUUAGUCAGUUUAUUUAUGGUAACCUUGGCUCAUUAAUUAGAAAGUGGUGCUCUUUGUUAUACCUAUAGCACUCGCUGCUUUCUGAAAACAAGGCCAACUUGGACCGCUGAUGGAACUUAUCACAUGCUACAAAAGCAUUAUUAAUUAAAGUAGAAACAAAGAAUGAACUAGAUAAGAAUGCCUG
Molecule: long non-coding RNA, 13795 nt
Filed under: Eucalyptus grandis
Lineage: Eukaryota; Viridiplantae; Streptophyta; Magnoliopsida; Myrtales; Myrtaceae
Description: long non-coding RNA (EGRA_LNC000297)
Source: RNAcentral